RNA transcript from Vigna angularis (adzuki bean), 2049 nucleotides. It is a transcript of the gene named peroxisome biogenesis protein 7, with no coding region annotated. The transcript has 3 exons. Lineage: Eukaryota; Viridiplantae; Streptophyta; Magnoliopsida; Fabales; Fabaceae. The record is from RefSeq and is a predicted model, not a curated record.
UUUUCUUGAAAAGAAAUUAGAAAAAAUCUGCAAAAAGAGGAAGAAGGAGUCUGAAGGGAUGAACCUAGCCAAAACCAGAAGUGGCUCUUCGAUCUUGCAUUUCACUUCUUUACAAAUAACAAAAUAGUCAAUUCAUCGAACAAGUGCAAAAUCUCACAAAUCCAAUUUCCCAAAUCACACUCUUACUUGAUCAGUUCAUUCUCACUUGAACCAUGCCGGUUUUCAAAACCCCCUUCAACGGCUACUCCGUCAAGUUCAGCCCCUUCUACGAGAAUCGCCUCGCCGUCGCCACCGCCCAGAACUUUGGUAUCCUCGGCAACGGCCGCCUCCACGUCCUCGUCCUCUCCCCGGACCCCUCCCUCCCCAUCGCGGAACUUGCCUCCUACGACACCGCCGAUGGUGUCUACGACGUAGCCUGGUCGGAGUCACACGAUUCCAUCGUCAUCGCUGCCGUGGCCGAUGGCUCCGUGAAGCUCUACGACCUGGCCCUGCCCCCCACUUCCAACCCUAUCCGUUCCUUCCAGGAACACACCCGUGAGGUCCACUCUGCCGACUACAACCCCGUCCGCCGCGACUCUUUCCUUUCCUCCUCCUGGGAUGACACCAUCAAGCUCUGGACCCUCGACCGACCCACCAGCGUCCGCACCUUCAAGGAGCACGCCUACUGCGUCUACUCCGCCGUCUGGAACCCCCGUCACGCUGACGUCUUUGCUUCUGCCUCUGGCGACUGUACCGUCCGCAUCUGGGACGUCCGCGAGCCAGGGUCCACCAUGAUCCUCCCCGCCCACGACUACGAGGUCCUCGCCUGCGACUGGAACAAGUACGACGAGUGUGUCAUCGCCACCGCAUCCGUGGACAAGAGCCUGAAGGUCUGGGAUGUCAGGAACUAUAGGGUUCCGGUGAGUGUGCUUAAUGGGCACGGGUAUGCCGUGAGGAAGGUGAAGUUCUCACCGCACGUGCGGAAUUUGUUGGUGUCUUGCUCGUAUGAUAUGACGGUGUGCGUUUGGGACUUCAUGGUGGAGGAUGCGCUUGUGAGUAGAUAUGAUCACCAUACGGAAUUUGCGGUUGGGGUGGACAUGAGUGUGCUAGUGGAGGGGCUCAUGGCUAGCACUGGCUGGGAUGAGCUUGUUUAUGUGUGGCCGCAUGGCACUGACCCUAGGGCACCUUAACACUAUAGAGUGGAAAAUGAAUAGAGUGUUGGAUAGGCACAUUCAAACGAGCUACAAGUCACAGAGUACGCACGAUUCACCACAUUGAGGUGCUCUGAAAGGUGGAAUAGUCUGGUCCAGUGGUGAAUUACGGAUGCCAACAGAAACAAACGCUUCAAGUAUCAGCUGAAUGAUGAAAGAUAUCUGCUUUAUUACAAUAAGAGAAGGAAAAAGGACCAUGCAGAAGCUUUUAAUCAUGAGCUGUCCAAAUUUCAGGUAAUUAGUUAUCAAAAUUCAAAAUACGAAUAUUCUCUUUGUUAUAGUUGCUAUAUUACCCACAAGGGUAAUAUACUUAUGUGAGUUGUCAAACAUGAUCAGCAUGCUAUAGAGGAUUGGUAAAUGGCAACUCACUUUGGCUACUGGAACCCUUGAUAAAGGAGAGAUGGGUACUAUUGAGUUGUCAAACAUGAUCAGCAUGCUAUAGAGGUUUGGUAAAUGGCAACUCACUUUGGCUACUGGAACCCUUGAUAAAGGAGAGAUGGGUACUAUACUAACCUCCAUAAACUUAUGAUUGGUUGGCUUUUGAAUUUUCAAAUCUCAAAUAUUACAUAAGAGAUUGUGAUUCUGCAUAAUUGGAAGUUAAAAGUUGAAAACAAGACAUUUAAUAAAGAAAUAUUUAUGUUUAAGAGAUUAGGAAUAUUUUAAUAUUGUGUAGUGUAAUAGUGGCCCCAGAAAAAAAAAAGACUAUUGGUGGUGAAAAUAAUCGAUCCUCCAUAUAUUGGGAAAUAAACAAAUUUAGCCCUCGACUUUCGGCUUCUAUUACUUACUGAUAGUUUAUCUGCUUUUUGUUACUACUAAACUUUGCUUGAUUGUUGUUUCGCCAUUCUCAUUGAUUCCUCAC